This 300-nucleotide ribosomal RNA is filed under the name uncultured Lactobacillus sp. RNAcentral describes it as "bacterial SSU rRNA". It matches the Rfam family "Bacterial small subunit ribosomal RNA", at positions 497 to 795 of the family's 1533-position model. The record is from RNAcentral. Lineage: Bacteria; Bacillati; Bacillota; Bacilli; Lactobacillales; Lactobacillaceae.
UGAACUGCCGUGCCGGGAGGCGCGGGUAGGCGGAUGGUGGUGGCGUUGUCAGGAGUGAUUGGGCGUAAAGAGCUCGUGGGCGGCGUGUGGCGGCAGCUGUGAAAACCCGCAGCUCAACUGUGGGCUUGCAGCUGAUACGGGCAGGCUUGAGUUCGGUAGGGGAGACUGGAAUUCCUGGUGUAGCGGUGAAAUGCGCAGAUAUCAGGAGGAACACCGGUGGCGAAGGCGGGUCUCUGGGCCGAUACUGACGCUGAGGAGCGAAAGCGUGGGGAGCGAACAGGAUUAGAUACCCCUGUAGUC